UCGUUGCUGAGAAUUUUGUUGUCGUUGCAAUAUUAAGAUGAUUUUGCAACGUUUUUACUUGUUGGUUGCAAUAAAAAGUGACUCUUGCCACGAUUGAUUUUCCGUUGCUGAGAGCUUUAUUAUCGUUGCAAUACUAAGAUGCUUUGGCAACGCUUUUAUUUCUUGGUUGCAAUAAAAAGUCACUCUUGCCACGAUUGAUUUUCCAUUGCUAAUAGUUUUGUUGCUGUUGCAAUACUAUACAGUUAAAAUGUUUAAUAUAAUAUUAAAAAAAAUAAAAAAACGCUUCAAAUGAGAUUCGAGCCUGGAACCUCUGAGUUUUAGAAGCCACACACUAACCAUCCCAACCUUUUGAUGUUUGUGGCUUCUCUAGCCACAGCACGAUAUAUAUAAUAACGUAAACGUGUUUAAUUACAUAAUGGAAGCUAGAUUAAUCUACUCGAUGCAACCGAUCGGUCUUCUCUGCUCUGUAUCGCGCUCGUCCAUUGCCGGCCCUAAUUCUUCCUCGCACUCGGGUCCGGCGAUCUCCUCGCUGCCGUCGCUGCCCUCGCUGGUGGCCACCGUCGCUGUCCUCGCUGGUGGCCGCCGUCGCUGCCCUCGCUGGUGGCCGCCGGUGAUCUCCUCACUGCCCUUGCUAGUGGCCGCUGUUCCCCUCGCUGCUGAUCGACGACGUCCUCCAUCACC
This 681-nucleotide long non-coding RNA is filed under the name Sorghum bicolor (sorghum). Its description in RNAcentral is "long non-coding RNA (SBIC_LNC000710)". Lineage: Eukaryota; Viridiplantae; Streptophyta; Magnoliopsida; Poales; Poaceae. The record is from RNAcentral.